This 4335-nucleotide long non-coding RNA is filed under the name Triticum aestivum (bread wheat). RNAcentral describes it as "long non-coding RNA (TAES_LNC028121)". The record is from RNAcentral. Lineage: Eukaryota; Viridiplantae; Streptophyta; Magnoliopsida; Poales; Poaceae.
GUUAGUUCUGAGUGAAUUCCCUCGGUAUGAUAAUUCUUUCAUCAGUUUGUUCCCUGUUUCUUCUCUAUCCUGAGCCUGACACACUAUUCUAGCUAGACAUGGGUGUGGCUCGUAACACCUGAUGACUAAAUGGAUCGACGGCACCAUCGAAUCUCAAACUUUAACUGCCAAAACUAUUGUUUUUCAUCCUGUAGUCCCAUUUAGAAUUAGUAAACGUCCUUUUUUGGGCCGAGAUUUAGAGGAACGCUUUCUCGGGGUUUGUGUGCAAGUAUUUCAAACCAUACGGACCUAAAAAUUAGAAGUCAUUCCAUCUUUAUUCCCCUAGUCAUCAGGUAUACACUCAAGUCGGAGCACGUUAUCAUUCUUGUUAGUUCUGAGUGAAUUCCCUCGGUAUGAUAAUUCUUUCAUAAAUUUGUUCCCCGUUUCUUAUAUGGCCUGAGCCUGACACACUAUUCUAGCUAGACAUGGGUGUGGCUCGUAACACCUGAUGACCAAACGGAUCUACGGCACCAUCAAAUCUCAAACUUUAACUGCCAAAACUAUUCUUUUUCAUUCUGUAGUCCCUUCUAGAAUUACUAAACGUCCUUUUUUGGGCCGAGAUUUCCAGGAACGCUUUCUCGGGGUUUGUGUGCAUGUAUUUCAAACCAUACAGACCUAAAAAUUAUAAGUCAUUCCAUCUUUAUUCCCGUAGAGCCUUCCAGUAGUUCCUAAACCGCUCCAGUCGGAGCAUGUUAUCAUUCUUGUUAGUUCUAAGUGAAUUCCCUCGGUAUGAUAAUUCUUUCAUCAGUUUGUUCCCCGUUUCUUCUCUAGCCUGAGCCUGGCACACUAGUCUAGCUAGACAUGGGUGUGGCUCGUAACACCCGAUGACUAAAUGGAUCGACGGCACCAUCGAAUCUCAAACUUUAACUGCCAAAACUAUUGUUUUUCAUCCUGUAGUCCCAUUUAGAAUUACUAAACGUCCUUUUUUGGGCCGAGAUUUAGAGGAACGCUUUCUCGUGGUUUGUGUGCAAGAAUUUCAAACCAUACGGACCUAAAAAUUAGAAGUCAUUCCAUCUUUAUUCCCCUAGAGCCUUCCAGUAGUUCCUAAACCGCUCUAGUCGGAGCACGUUAUCAUUCUUGUUAGUUCUGAGAGAAUUCCCUCGGUAUGAUAAUUCUUUUAUCAGUUUGUUCCCCGUUUCUUCUCUAGCCUGAGCCCGACACACUAUUCUAGCUAGACAUGGGUGUGGCUCGUAACACCUGAUGACCAAACGGAUCUACGGCACCAUCGAAUCUCAAACUUUAACUGCCAAAACUAUUGUUUUUCAUCCUGUAGUCCCUUUUAGAAUUACUAAAUGUCCUUUUUUGGGCCGAGAUUUCCAGGAACGCUUUCUCAGGGUUUGUGUGCAAGUAAUUCAAACCAUACGGACCUAAAAAUUAGAAGUCAUUCCAUCUUUAUUCCCCUAGAGCCUUCCAGCAGUUCCUAAACCGCUCAAGUCAGUGCACGUUAUCAUUCUUGUUAGUUCUAAGUGAAUUCCCUCGGUAUGAUAAUUUGUUCAUCAGUUUGUUCCCCGUUUCUUCUCUAGCCUGAGCCUGACACACUAUUCUAGCUAGACAUGGGUGUGGCUCGUAACACCUGAUGACCAAACGGAUCUACGACACCAUCGAAUCUCAAACUUUAACUACCAAAACUAUUGUUUUUCAUCCUCUAGUCCCUUUUAGAAUUACUAAACGUCCUUUUUUGGGCCGAGAUUUCCAGGAACGCUUUCUCGGGGUUUGUGUGCAUGUAUUUCAAACCAUACAGACCUAAAAAUUAGAAGUCAUUCCAUCUUUAUUCCCGUAGAGCCUUCCAGCAGUUCCUAAACCGCUCCAGUCGGAGCAUGUUAUCAUUCUUGUUUGUUCUGAGUGAAUUCCCUCGGUAUGAUAAUUCUAUCAUCAGUUUGUUCCCCGUUUCUUCUCUAGCCUGAGCCUGGCAAACUAUUCUAGCUAGACAUGGGUGUGGCUCGUAACACCUGAUGACCAAACGGAUCUACGACACCAUCGAAUCUCAAACUUUAACUACCAAAACUAUUGUUUUUCAUUCUAUAGUCCCUUCUAGAAUUUCUAAACGUCCUUUUUUGGGCCGAGAUUUCCAGGAAUGCUUUCUCGGGGUUUGUGUGCAAGUAUUUCAAAUCAUACGGACCUAAAAAUUAGAAGUCAUUCCAUCUUUAUUCCCCUAGAGCCUUCCAGUAGUUCCUAAACCGCUCCAGUCGGAGCACGUUAUCAUUCUUGUUAGUUCAUAGUGAAUUCCCUCGGUAUGAUAAUUCUUUCAUCAGUUUGUUCCCCGUUUCUUCUCUAGCCUGAGCCUGGCACAGUAUUCUAGCUAGACAUGGGUGUGGUCGUAACACCUGAUGACUAAAUGGAUCGACGGCACCAUCGAAUCUCAAACUUUAACUGCCAAAACUAUUGUUUUUCAUCCUGUAAUCCCAUUUAGAAUUACUAAACGUCCUUUUUUGGGCCGAGAUUUAGAGGAACGCUUUGUUGGGGUUUGUGUGCAAGUAUUUCAAACCAUACGGACCUAAAAAUUAGAACUCAUUCCAUAUUUAUUCCCCUUGAGCCUUCCAGCAGUUCCUAAACCGCUCUAGUCGGAGCACGUUAUCAUUCUUGUUAGUUCUAAGAGAAUUCCCUCGGUAUGAUAAUUCUUUUAUCAGUUUGUUCCCCGUUUCUUCUCUAGACUGGGCCCGACACACUAUUCUAGCUAGACAUGGGUGUGGCUCGUAACACCUGAUGACCAAACGGAUCUACGGCACCAUCGAAUCUCAAACUUCAACUGCCAAAACUAUUGUUUUUCAUCCUGUAGUCCCUUUUAGAAUUACUAAACGUCCUUUUUUGGGCCGAGAUUUCCAGGAACGCUUUCUCGGGGUUUGUGUGCAAGUAUUUCAAACCAUACGGACCUAAAAAUUAGAAGUCAUUCCAUCUUUAUUCCCGUAGAGCCAUCCAGCAGUUCCUAAACCGCUCCAGUCGGAGCACGUUAUCAUUCUUGUUAGUUCUGAGUGAAUUCCCUCGGUAUGAUAAUUCUUUCAUCAGUUUGUUCCCCGUUUCUUCUCUAGCCUGAGCCUGACAAACUAUUAUAGCUAGACAUGGGUGUGGCUCGUAACACCUGAUGACCAAACGGAUCUAUGGCACCAUCGAAUCUCAAACUUUAACUGCCAAAACUAUUGUUUUUCAUCCUGUAGUCCCUUUUAGAAUUACUAAACGCCCUUCUUUGGGACGAGAUUUCCAGGAACGCUUUCUCGGGGUUUGUGUGAAAGUAAUUCAAACCAUACGGACCUAAAAAUUAGAAGUCAUUCCAUCUUUAUUCCCGUGGAGCCUUCCAGUAGUUCCUAAACCGCUCCAGUCGGAGCACGUUAUCAUUCUUGUUAGUUCUGAGUGAAUUCCCUCGGUAUGAUAAUUCUUUCAUCAGUUUGUUCCCUGUUUCUUCUCUAGCCUGAGCCUGGCACACUAUUCUAGCUAGACAUGGGUGUGGCUCGUAACACCUGAUGACUAAACUGAUCAAUGACACCAUCGAAUCUCAAACUUUAACUGCCAAAACUAUUGUUUUUCAUCCUGUAGUCCCAUUUAGAAUUACUAAACGUCCUUUUUUGGGCCGAGAUUUCCAGGAACGCUUACUCGGGGUUUGUGUGCAAGUAUUUCAAACCAUACUGACCUAAAAAUUAGAAGUCAAUCCAUCUUUAUUCCCCUAGAGCCUUCCAGCAGUUCCUAAACCGCUCCAGUCGGAGCACGUUAUCAUUCUUGUUAGUUCUGAGUGAAUUCCCUCGGUAUGAUAAUUCUUUCAUCAGUUUGUUCCUUGUUUCUUCUCUAGCCUGAACCUGACACACUAUUCUAGCUAGACAUGGGUGUGGCUCGUAACACCUGAUGACCAAACGGAUCUACGGCACCAUCGAAUCUCAAACUUUAACUGCCAAAACUAUUAUUUUUAAUCCUCUAGUCCCAUUUAGAAUUACUAAACGUCCUUUUUUGGGCCGAGAUUUAGAGGAACGCUUUCAUGCGGUUUGUGUGCAAGUAUUUCAAACCAUACGGACCUAAAAAUUAGAAGUCAUUCCAUCUUUAUUCCCCUAGAGCCUUCCAGCAGUUCCUAAACCGCUCCAGUCGGAGCAUGUUAUCAUUCUUGUUAGUUCUGAGUGAAUUCCCUCGGUAUGAUAAUUCUUUCAUCAGUUUGUGGCCCGUUUCUUCUCUAGCCUGAGCCUGACACACUAUUCUAGCUAGACGUGGGUGUGGCUCGUAACACCUGAUGACCAAACGGAUCUACGGCACCAUCGAAUCUCAAACUUUAAGUGCCAAAACUAUUAUUUUUAAUCCUGUAGUCCCAUUUAGAAUUAC